GAUGAACGCUGGCGGCGUGCCUAAUACAUGCAAGUCGAGCGAACAGACGAGGAGCUUGCUCCUCUGACGUUAGCGGCGGACGGGUGAGUAACACGUGGAUAACCUACCUAUAAGACUGGGAUAACUUCGGGAAACCGGAGCUAAUACCGGAUAAUAUCUUGAACCGCAUGGUUCAAUGGUGAAAGACGGUUUUGCUGUCACUUCUAGAUGGAUCCGCGCCGCAUUAGCUAGUUGGUAAGGUAACGGCUUACCAAGGCAACGAUGCGUAGCCGACCGGAGAGGGUGAUCGGCCACACUGGAACGGAGACACGGUCCAGAGUCCUACGGGAGGCAGCAGAAGGGAAUCGUCCGCAAUGGGCGAAAGCCUGACGGAGCAACGCCGCGUGAGUGAUGAAGGUCUUCGGAUCGUAAAACUCUGUUAUUAGGGAAGAACAAAUGUGUAAGUAACUAUGCACGUCUUGACGGUACCUAAUCAGAAAGCCACGGCUAACUACGUG
This 497-nucleotide ribosomal RNA is filed under the name uncultured bacterium. RNAcentral describes it as "partial 16S ribosomal RNA". It matches the Rfam family "Bacterial small subunit ribosomal RNA", at positions 28 to 507 of the family's 1533-position model. The record is from RNAcentral.